Molecule: ribosomal RNA, 1252 nt
Filed under: Bacillus zhangzhouensis
Lineage: Bacteria; Bacillati; Bacillota; Bacilli; Caryophanales; Bacillaceae
Description: bacterial SSU rRNA
Rfam family: Bacterial small subunit ribosomal RNA
Source: RNAcentral
GGCUGCUAAUACAUGCAAGUCGAGCGGACAGAAGGGAGCUUGCUCCCGGAUGUUAGCGGCGGACGGGUGAGUAACACGUGGGUAACCUGCCUGUAAGACUGGGAUAACUCCGGGAAACCGGAGCUAAUACCGGAUAGUUCCUUGAACCGCAUGGUUCAAGGAUGAAAGACGGUUUCGGCUGUCACUUACAGAUGGACCCGCGGCGCAUUAGCUAGUUGGUGGGGUAAUGGCUCACCAAGGCAACGAUGCGUAGCCGACCUGAGAGGGUGAUCGGCCACACUGGGACUGAGACACGGCCCAGACUCCUACGGGAGGCAGCAGUAGGGAAUCUUCCGCAAUGGACGAAAGUCUGACGGAGCAACGCCGCGUGAGUGAUGAAGGUUUUCGGAUCGUAAAGCUCUGUUGUUAGGGAAGAACAAGUGCGAGAGUAACUGCUCGCACCUUGACGGUACCUAACCAGAAAGCCACGGCUAACUACGUGCCAGCAGCCGCGGUAAUACGUAGGUGGCAAGCGUUGUCCGGAAUUAUUGGGCGUAAAGGGCUCGCAGGCGGUUUCUUAAGUCUGAUGUGAAAGCCCCCGGCUCAACCGGGGAGGGUCAUUGGAAACUGGGAAACUUGAGUGCAGAAGAGGAGAGUGGAAUUCCACGUGUAGCGGUGAAAUGCGUAGAGAUGUGGAGGAACACCAGUGGCGAAGGCGACUCUCUGGUCUGUAACUGACGCUGAGGAGCGAAAGCGUGGGGAGCGAACAGGAUUAGAUACCCUGGUAGUCCACGCCGUAAACGAUGAGUGCUAAGUGUUAGGGGGUUUCCGCCCCUUAGUGCUGCAGCUAACGCAUUAAGCACUCCGCCUGGGGAGUACGGUCGCAAGACUGAAACUCAAAGGAAUUGACGGGGGCCCGCACAAGCGGUGGAGCAUGUGGUUUAAUUCGAAGCAACGCGAAGAACCUUACCAGGUCUUGACAUCCUCUGACAACCCUAGAGAUAGGGCUUUCCCUUCGGGGACAGAGUGACAGGUGGUGCAUGGUUGUCGUCAGCUCGUGUCGUGAGAUGUUGGGUUAAGUCCCGCAACGAGCGCAACCUUGAUCUUAGUUGCCAGCAUUUAGUUGGGACUCUAAGGUGACUGCCGUGACAACCGGAGGAAAGGUGGGAUGACGUCAAUCAUCAGCCCCUUAUGACUGGGCUACCACGUGCUACAUGGACAAACAAAGGCUGCAAACCGCAGGUUUACGAACCCAAAAUCUGUUUCAUUUGGA